UACGGAGGGGGCUAGCGUUGUUCGGAAUUACUGGGCGUAAAGCGCACGUAGGCGGCUUUGUAAGUUAGAGGUGAAAGCCCGGGGCUCAACUCCGGAAUUGCCUUUAAGACUGCAUCGCUAGAAUUGUGGAGAGGUAAGUGGAAUUCCGAGUGUAGAGGUGAAAUUCGUAGAUAUUCGGAAGAACACCAGUGGCGAAGGCGACUUACUGGACACAUAUUGACGCUGAGACGCGAAAGCCAGGGGAGCAAACGGG
RNAcentral lists this ribosomal RNA (253 nucleotides) under uncultured bacterium. RNAcentral describes it as "partial 16S ribosomal RNA". It matches the Rfam family "Bacterial small subunit ribosomal RNA", at positions 524 to 776 of the family's 1533-position model. The record is from RNAcentral.